CUUCGUGUCCGCUUCCCUUUAUGGGCUCAUGAGUCCCUGGGAGCUAUGAGAGCCUCGGUGAUGACGUGCUUCCAUCCCGCCUUCGUGUCCGCUUCCCUUUAUGGGCUCAUGAGAUCCUGGGAGCUGUGAGAGCCUCGGCGAUGACGCGCUUCUGUUCCGCCUUAGGGUCCGCCUCCCUUUAUGGGCUCAUGAGUUUCUGCUUCAACACCAGGCAAUUUUUUUUUUCUUUUGCCUCUAGCCCAGUUUUAGAAAGGACUGUAUCUUGGUCCUUCUUAAUGGUAUAAAAGACAUCCUCAGCCCGCCAGAUUCUCCUGCAUUUGAGUGACGACAUGCUUCUCUGGCUGUGACCAACUCUUCUCCCUUUCUUUUUAAAUGGCAGGACUUCUUGUUCAAUACUUGCUGGAUAUGAAGAUCCAACCCGGCGCCUCCCAUUGCAUCCGCUCCUCACACCUCCACCGUCUCCAUGGCGUGACAGUUCCUUAGUUUUUCCUUGUUGUUCGUGACCUUCACCUUUUGGAAAGGUACUGGCCAGUCACUUUGCAAAAUGUUCCUCAGUUUGUGCUUGCUUGAUGUUUUCUCCUGAUUAAAGUGAUGCAUUUUGGGCAGAACAUCAUAAAA
This is a long non-coding RNA of Pongo pygmaeus (Bornean orangutan), 618 nucleotides long. RefSeq lists it as uncharacterized. NCBI's taxonomy places the organism in Eukaryota, Metazoa, Chordata, Mammalia, Primates, Hominidae. The transcript has 2 exons. The record is from RefSeq and is a predicted model, not a curated record.